RNAcentral lists this small RNA (781 nucleotides) under Pan troglodytes (chimpanzee). RNAcentral describes it as "processed transcript". The record is from RNAcentral. Lineage: Eukaryota; Metazoa; Chordata; Mammalia; Primates; Hominidae.
CUUUGGACCACGAUGAAAUUGCCAAAUGAUGCAUUUCUCGAAUGUAUCCUCAUUGUUAAGCAGCCCAUGAUUGUACUGUUUCUCUACUAGAAAUCCUAUCUCUACAUCCUCUCUAUGAAGUCUCCUUGCCCUUCAUCUCAGAAGUCCUCUCUCCCUCUUCUCAAAUCACAUUUAUUUCUACAAAGUGAAUAUCACUCAUCUUAUUCUGCCUUUUACUGGUGUACAUGUCUUUUGUUGAGCACGGUACCAUGUGCCAAGCACAAUGUACAUAAUAGAUGUUCAAGGCUGCAGUGAGCUAUAAUCAUGCCACUGCACUCCAGCCUGGGUGACAGGCUUUUUUUUUUUCUAAAAAGGAGAAAAUUGUGUGUGUGUGUAUUUAUAUAGAUAUAAUUACAAGUAAUUUUUUCCUUCCAAAUUUAUUUCAGAUUUUACCAAAUGUUGCAAGAACUCUGGAGUUCUUAUGGUAGUAAAAUGCCGGAAAGAAAAUUCUGCAUUGAAAGAAUGUCUAACUGCUUACUAUAAUGAUCCAGCCUUUUAUGAAGAAUGCAAAAUGGAAUACCUGAAGGAAAGGGAAGAAUUCAGAAAAACUGGAAUUCCUACAAAGAAAAGGCUACAGAAGCUUCCAACAAGCAUGUAGGCAGAUACUCAAAUGACAUUCAGGAACUCUAAUAUUCAUGGAAGUCAUUUUAUAGUCCUUAAAUAAUGGACUCAAGCAUAUAUGUUUGCUUUACCUUAAUUAUGGAAAUAUUAACUUUAUCUGAAAUAAAUAUUUUAUUUCACA